RNAcentral lists this ribosomal RNA (413 nucleotides) under uncultured bacterium. Its description in RNAcentral is "bacterial SSU rRNA". The stretch from base 6 to 312 matches the Rfam family "Bacterial small subunit ribosomal RNA", at positions 46 to 392 of the family's 1533-position model. The record is from RNAcentral.
CGGCAGUGCUACACAUGCAAGUGAGCGCGCCUUCGGGUGAGCGGCGGACGGGUUAGUACCGACGUGCCUUCUCUACGGAAUAGCCUCUGGAAACGGAGAGUAAUACCGUAUACGCCCUUUGGGGGAAAGAUUUAUCGGAGAAGGAUCGGCCCGCGUUAGAUUAGGUAGUUGGUGGGGUAACGGCCUACCAAGCCUACGAUCUAUAGCUGGUUUUAGAGGAUGAUCAGCAACACUGGGACUGAGACACGGCCCAGACUCCUACGGGAGGCAGCAGUGGGGAAUCUUAGACAAUGGGGGCAACCCUGAUCUAGCAUGCGCGUGAGUAUGACGCUUCGGUCGUAAAGCCUUUCGCCUGUGAUAUAUGACGAGACGUACGAAACCCGCUAAAUCCUGCCGCGCCGGGUAUACGCAGG